This is a non-coding RNA of Nelumbo nucifera (sacred lotus), 1223 nucleotides long. Lineage: Eukaryota; Viridiplantae; Streptophyta; Magnoliopsida; Proteales; Nelumbonaceae. The record is from RefSeq and is a predicted model, not a curated record.
AAGAUAAGGAAAAAAGAACUCCAUUGCUCUUUAUUAUGGUCGACCCUUUCUAUUCUGAUGAAUAAUGAAGUGGGGUUCAGGUUGAGACUUGAGAUGAGCUGAUGCAGCGGUAGAGGGUGAUACUGUCGCCGACAGGGAGCUGGCAGAUCUCGAUCCUGUGAUACCCAACAUUCUUGCGGACGGGUGCGUCCAGCGGACUGGCGGAGCCACCACCGACCCAUUCUUAGAGGGUGUUGUCGUACAGUCGUACCCAAUUACACCCCCCAACCUUCACCAGCCUCUUGUGGUAGUUGAAUAGUUGUCCUUGUCUGUGUCCACAAAUUUGAAAUCAAACGUCCCAAUUAUACUUUCCCUUCAUAUUCACAAAGCCCAAAUAUAAAAAAAAAAAAAAAUCACUAUUUGUUGUUGAUCUAACAAUUAAAGGAAGAAAGACUCAGAGAUGGAUGGCGGAGGGUUAAUAAGGAAGAAAGGAUUAGUUACUUACAUCUUCGAUCAUUUGGUUGAGAAUAGGUAGAGCAGGGCCUUCCCGGAAAUCGCUCUUGGAGUUCAAACUUGUACUAUUGCGGACACUCAAACUUGUACUAUCGCUCAGAGAAGCUCAAAAGGAGGAAGAACUGAAUCAUGAUAUAUUACCAUCUGAGAAGAAUCAAAAAGCUCAGGUGGACGGCGCUUCUGAAGGGAGGAGAAGCGAUUGGAGAGAAAAACGAUGGAGAGGGGACGAGAGAAGAAGACGAAAGAAGAAGAGGAAGGUUUAAUGCCUGCAUACUACUUCGCUGAUUUCAGCUUGUGCAAGGCUCCGAUAUAAUUUCCGACCGGUAUCAGCUUUUCCGAUGUCAUAUUCCACUUAUCAGCACCAACGGGGGCAGAAGGCAUUUUCGUCAUUUCAAAAAGUCAUCCAUUCGGUUUUCAAAAACGUGAGGGGUAAUUAUGUCUUUUUACCAUCAUAGUUGACGGUCUAUUAACGGCAGGUAUCGGAUUGUGGAGUUUUGAAAGUUCGAUACUGAAUUGUCAUGAAGUUAGGGAACAAAUUGAUACAAGACCCAUAGUAAAGAGUACUAAUCGGAAAUUUUCUAUAUAUUAUUUGUCAGGCAUGCGUUGGAAAGGGUAUGGUUGACUCAUUUUUUAAUGUGAUUAUAUUUCCGCUUCUGCAAUUUCUUUUUCUUUUGUAUUUAUGCAGAUAGGUUUGAGUAUAAAUUCGGGUUUAAUUAAUUUUGUUUCUGAUU